GACGAACGCUGGCGGCGUGCUUAACACAUGCAAGUCGAACGGAAAGGCCCUGCUUUUGUGGGGUGCUCGAGUGGCGAACGGGUGAGUAACACGUGAGUAACCUGACCUUGAAUUUGGGAUAACUUCAGGAAACUGGGGCUACUACCGGAUAGGAGCUCCUGCUGCACGGUGGGGGUUGGAAAGUUUCGGCGAUCGGGGAUGGACUGGCGGCUUAUCCGCUUGUUUGUGGGGUAGUGGCUUACCAAGGCUUUGACGGGUAGCCGGCCUGAACGGGUGACCGCGCACAUUGGGACUUAGAUACGACCCCAACGCCUACGGGAGGCAGCAGUGGGGAAUAUUGCACAAUGGGCGGAAGCCUGAUGCGGCAACGCAGCGUGCGGGAUGACGGCCUUCGGGUUGUAAACCGCUUUCGCCUGUGACGAAGCGUGAGUGACGGUAAUGGGUAAAGAAGCACCGGCUAACUACGUG
Molecule: ribosomal RNA, 468 nt
Filed under: uncultured bacterium
Lineage: Bacteria
Description: partial 16S ribosomal RNA
Rfam family: Bacterial small subunit ribosomal RNA
Source: RNAcentral